GACGAACGCUGGCGGCGUGCUUAACACAUGCAAGUCGAGCGAGGACAUUUAGCAAUAGGUGUUCUAGCGGCGGACGGGUGAGUAACGCGUGAGCAAUCUGUCCCAGACAGGGGGAUAACAGAUGGAAACAUCUGCUAAUACCGCAUAAGACCACGGUUUCACAUGGGAUCGGGGUAAAAGGCGAAAGCCGGUUUGGGGUGAGCUCGCGUCCGAUUAGCUGGUUGGCGGGGUAACGGCCCACCAAGGCGACGAUCGGUAGCCGACCUGAGAGGGUGAUCGGCCACACUGGAACUGAGAGACGGUCCAGACUCCUACGGGAGGCAGCAGUGGGGAAUAUUGGGCAAUGGGGGAAACCCUGACCCAGCAACGCCGCGUGAGGGAAGAAGGUUUUCGGAUUGUAAACCUCUGUCCUUGGUGAAGAAAGAGAUGACGGUAGCCAAGGAGGAAGCCCCGGCUAACUACGUG
This 465-nucleotide ribosomal RNA is filed under the name uncultured bacterium. RNAcentral's name for it is "bacterial SSU rRNA". It matches the Rfam family "Bacterial small subunit ribosomal RNA", at positions 28 to 507 of the family's 1533-position model. The record is from RNAcentral.